GCUCGGGGUAUGGACCUGCAUAAAACUUAAAGUUGUGAGCUGAAUAGCGGAUGGAAAGCCGUAGACGCAGAGGGUAAUAUUCCCGUAAGCGAAGCGAUGAUAAGUAGGCGGGUAUCCGGAGUACCACGAGACACGAGGAAUCUUGUGGGAAGGCGGGAGGACCACCUCCCAAGGCUAAAUACUACUUGGUGACCGAUAGAGGAAAGUACCGUGAGGGAAAGGUGAAAAGAACCCCGGGAGGGGAGUGAAAUAGAAUCUGAAACCCUAUGUUUACAAGCAGUUGGAGAGCGUUAAAGCUCGACAGCGUACUUUUUGUAGAACGGUCCGGCGAGUUAUUGUACGUAGCGAGGUUAAGUACUAAAGGUAUGGAGCCGAAGCGAGAGCGAGUCUGAAUAGGGCGAAGGAGUUACGUGUAAUAGACCCGAAACCGGGUGACCUACCCAUGGACAGGUUGAAGCCUGAGUAAAAUCAGGUGGAGGACCGAACAGGUGUCUGUUGAAAAAGGCUCUGAUGAGCUGUGGGUAGCGGAGAAAUUCCAAACGAACUCGGAGAUAGCUGGUUCUCCCCGAAAUAGCUUUAGGGCUAGCCUUGUAUUAAUCUAGCGGAGGUAAAGCACUGAAUGGACGCGGGGCCUUACCAGGUUACCAAAUUCUAUCAAACUCAGAAUGCCGCAUAGAUGAUGUACGGGAGUCAGACUACGGGAGAUAAGUUUCGUGGUCAAAAGGGAAACAGCCCAGACCGCCAGCUAAGGUCCCAAAAUCAUGGUUAAGUGGAAAAGGAUGUGGGCUUGCUAAGACAGCUAGGAUGUUGGCUUAGAAGCAGCCACUCAUUAAAAGAGUGCGUAAUAGCUCACUAGUCGAGUGAGCCUGCGCCGAAGAUGUAACGGGGCUAAACCAUGUACCGAAGCUGCGGAUUUCGUGUAAACGAAGUGGUAGGGGAGCGUAGUGUUGUAGGGAGAAGCAUAAUCGAGAGGAUAUGUGGACGAAGCAGUAGUGAGAAUGCCGGAAUGAGUAGCGAGAGUGAAGUGAGAAUCUUUACCGUCGAAAGCCUAAGGUUUCCUGGGGAAGGUUCGUCCGCCCAGGGUAAGUCGGGACCUAAGCUGAGGCCGGAAGGCGUAGGUGAUGGAUAACAGGUUGAAAUUCCUGUACUGACAGUAGUUGUAUAAGAGAGGCAGGGACACAGGAGGAUAGACAGAUCCAGUAACAGGAAAAGCUGGACUAAGGGAAGUAGAUAGCUUUGUAGUGAAGUACGCAGAGCGUUUCGAAGACCUGAAGGGGAGGGAAAUAGAGUACCGAAGCUGUUGAUUCCACACUGGCGAGAAAAGCUGCUAUUGAGACUAGGGUCACCCGUACCGCAAACCGACACAGGUAGGUGAGGAGAGAAUCCUAAGACGAACGGGAGAAGCGUUGUUAAGGAACUCGGCAAAUUAACCCCGUAAGUUCGCGAUAAGGGGAGCCUAGAGAUAGGCCGCAGAGAAAAGGCCCAAGCAACUGUUUACCAAAAACACAGGUCUCUGCUAAAUCGAAAGAUGAAGUAUAGGGGCUGACGCCUGCCCGGUGCUGGAAGGUUACGGGAAUCUGUAAGGGAAACCGAAGCAGUGAACUUAAGCCCCAGUAAACGGCGGCCGUAACUAUAACGGUCCUAAGGUAGCGAAAUUCCUUGUCAGGUAAGUUCUGACCCGCACGAAUGGCGUAAUGAUUUGGGCACUGUCUCAACAGCGCACCCGGUGAAAUUGUAGUACUUGUAAAGAUGCAAGUUACCCGCGAUUAGACGGAAAGACCCCAUGGAGCUUCACUGCAGGCUGGUAUUGGGUUUCGGUAUUUUCUGUACAGGAUAGGUGGGAGACGAAGAAGUACGGACGUCAGUUCGUAUGGAGUCGCCGUUGGGAUACCACUCUGGAAAUAUUGGAACUCUAACCUGAUACCGUAAACCGGUAUAGGGACACUGGCAGUCGGGCAGUUUGACUGGGGCGGUCGCCUCCCAAAGAGUAACGGAGGCGCCCAAAGGUUACCUCAGCGCAGUUGGAAAUUGCGUAAAAGAGUGCAAAGGCAGAAGGUAGCCUGACUGAGAGACUGACAAGUCGAGCAGAUACGAAAGUAGGGCUUAGUGAUCCGGCGGUAUGAAAGUGGAAUUGCCGUCGCUCAACGGAUAAAAGCUACCCUGGG
Molecule: ribosomal RNA, 2165 nt
Filed under: human gut metagenome
Description: bacterial LSU rRNA
Rfam family: Bacterial large subunit ribosomal RNA
Source: RNAcentral